RNAcentral lists this long non-coding RNA (653 nucleotides) under Coturnix japonica (Japanese quail). Its description in RNAcentral is "lncRNA (ENSCJPG00005000593.1)". Lineage: Eukaryota; Metazoa; Chordata; Aves; Galliformes; Phasianidae. The record is from RNAcentral.
UUAGCGAUUUCAUCGGCUUGCUUUUAUGGUCUCUUAAGGAUGACUUGCCUCAUGCUAAACAGAAAUUGACGCCAUAAGAACUGAGUCAUCAAACUGUUUGCCCAUUGGAUCACUGUAAGAGAGAACAUCAAAGAAUAUUUAUAGUCAUAGAGUCCCCAGGUCCUUUCCAACAGAUACAAGCUAGUAUUUCCCACCUGGGAUAUUGGAAGAUGGGAACUUGCCAGCAGUCAGUGAAGAUCUCUGAGACAGCGAGAGCGAGCGAGCUUUGAGUAGACUGGGAACCACUGUCCACAGCAGGAAAUAAGAGAAAAGAUGUUUCCUUGGGCACUUGGGUGGAAAUCAUUCCUGACUGCUUUCUCAUCCACCGGGAAAAUCUGCUGAUUGACAAUUUGAAGCUGAUAGACUUUGGACUCUGUGCAAAGCCAAAGAAGCCUUUAUUAACAUGUAAGAUGGGUGCUGGUAAGAAAGAAUGGGAAGACUCCCUUACUGAUUCCAAGAGAAUUACUUAUCCUCAAAUGAUUUUUCCUGGCCAAAGUUAGAGCCUCUCACAGGUAAUCGAGACCAACAGGCUGUUGUUGCACAAUCAACAGGCACAAUCUAGAUGAUCAGCUGAGGAAAAUAAAGCAUCAUGCCAAGGGUACUAGAUAAGUGAG